This 1144-nucleotide long non-coding RNA is filed under the name Macaca mulatta (Rhesus monkey). Its description in RNAcentral is "lncRNA (ENSMMUG00000054442.1)". The record is from RNAcentral. Lineage: Eukaryota; Metazoa; Chordata; Mammalia; Primates; Cercopithecidae.
AUGUCAUUGUAUGGGGUCUCAAAUGCCUUAUUCUAUUGAAAAUAUUUAAAUCUCUUUAAACACAUUAGGAUUUUCUAAUUUGAAGGAAAAAUGACACAGAAUUCUAUGACAAAUUCUUUAGAAAACUAUUUCCAAUCUCUUGGGGUGGGGUACUUUUCUCGGUGGCUGGAAUAAAAUCUACAUCUAAUUAUUUUCUGGGACUUUACUUUGCUUGAGGAUUUUUGCAAAAUAAUGCCAGGCCUCUAGCAAGGCAUUAAAUGUUGGUUCAAUUCAGACCUCAUAUGCCAUUGUUUUGUAGUUGUUCCAGGUACAAGUUAAAACAACUUACCAAACAAAACCAAACAAAACAAAAACCUUGGCAGUAUCUGUUUUGUUGUGAACCUCAUUCAACCUGAAAUUUAAUUAGGUUACCAUGAGGGUUUGUAAUGUGGAUUAAUAGUUUUAUUGUAUGCCUGUGAUUAGUUUCUGUUUGUUCUAAUUUCUUUUUAGCCCCUUCCUGACCUUGAGGUGAAAAAACACAGAAGAUGUAUUCCUUCAAUUUAAUGCCAGUUUGAGGUGUUUCUCCUGCAUCAUCAGAUCAAUGAAAAAACAAAAAAGUAUUGAGUUGUCUUAUAAAGAUAAAUAUGAGAAACUUGGGGAGAACCAAAAAUAAAGAUCAGAAUAAUAUACAGUCAUAAAAACAUGAGUUAUGGAGCUUCAAAAUAAGAAGCCCAGGUAUACAGACUUCUUUUCUCACAAUUCAACAUCUCCAAGAUAUGGAAAGUCGUGGCUUGGUUGUCUGGGAAGAUACUCUUGUUUCAUGACACUGCUGAAUAUCAGUUCCUUAUAUUGUCAGGAUUCAUGAUUAAAUGAUGUUACAUUCUCUUCCAAGUGGGCUAAUUUUCUACAUGAUUGUGGCUCUGGAAGCAAAGUAGUAAAAAUUGGUAUCUAUUCAGUUUUAUUGACUACUCAUAAAAUACUUAUAAUACUACUUAUAAUAACCAGCUGGAUCCUGUAUACUGCAUGGUGGGUGUUCAACUAUAUUUACCAACAACUCUAUAAACAAUAUGUAUACUUUCAUUUUAGGUUAACUAGUAAAAAUCAUUGUCUAAAAACUGCAAUCUUAUGCUCUGUGUCAAAGUUAAAAGAGGCAUGGGAAACCCGG